Oryza glumipatula is the source of this 208-nucleotide non-coding RNA. The record is from Rfam. Lineage: Eukaryota; Viridiplantae; Streptophyta; Magnoliopsida; Poales; Poaceae.
AAUAAGUACAGUUUUGUACAGUUCAUGUCUAACUUUUGACCGUUCAUUUUAUUUAAAAUUUUUUUAUGAUUAAUAUUUUUAUUGUUAUUAGAUGACAAAACAUGAAUAGUAUUUUAUGUGUGACUAAAUUUUUUUAAUUUUCUCAUAAAUUUUUCAAAUAAGACGGACAGUCAAACGUUGGACACGAAUUUCCACGGCUACACUUAUU